UACGUAGGUGGCAAGCGUUGUCCGGAUUUACUGGGCGUAAAGAGCGCGCAGGCGGCUGGUCAAGUCCGAUGUGAAAUCUCCCGGCUCAACUGGGAAACUGCAUCGGAAACUGAUCGGCUUGAAGGUGGGAGAGGGCAGUGGAAUUCCCGGUGUAGUGGUGAAAUGCGUAGAUAUCGGGAGGAACACCAGUGGCGAAGGCGACUGCCUGGCCCAUUCUUGACGCUGAGGCGCGAAAGCUAGGGGAGCGAAC
This 250-nucleotide ribosomal RNA is filed under the name uncultured bacterium. RNAcentral's name for it is "partial 16S ribosomal RNA". It matches the Rfam family "Bacterial small subunit ribosomal RNA", at positions 524 to 773 of the family's 1533-position model. The record is from RNAcentral.